Long non-coding RNA from Micropterus salmoides (largemouth bass), 1212 nucleotides. RefSeq lists it as uncharacterized. NCBI's taxonomy places the organism in Eukaryota, Metazoa, Chordata, Actinopteri, Centrarchiformes, Centrarchidae. The transcript has 3 exons. The record is from RefSeq and is a predicted model, not a curated record.
CGCGCCAUCUUUGCAGGCGUAUUGCCAUCUGUGAUGGUCGUAUUCGGAUUUUCCUUCACUCUCUUGAAAGAAGUCUUGUUUUUGUUACUUACCUGACGUCCUGCAUCGACAUAAAUUCAGCCGAAAUGUUGCCGAGACGCGCACCUGUACUUUCACAGACUCCUAUUUUCAACACCACUCUGACAAACAACUUUGCUAACAGAGAAUGUCUGAAGCUCAUGUUUCACUGUAAUUGCCUUCCACGACUGAUGAUAAGCGGUAAAAUGGUCUUAAAAAAACCCUCACAAAGUUAUUCUACAAUUGAUGUUUAAAGCCAGGACUAGAAAAGUCCACGCCAUCCAGCUAGGAAGUACAUACUUACAGAGUGGCCCUCUUUGCUUUUAGACUUAUUAGAGUUAUCUAACGUUACAACGCAAUAAAGGACUGUAUUAUGAACAAGGACUGGCACUGAAUGGACUCCAAGAAGACCUUCAAAUAACACCGUCAGGCAGUGGAAUCAUGUCUGUAGUUGGCUGGGAGGACAGCAGCCCUUUACAGAUGGUUCCAUAUGCAGCCACACCACUCAUGAAAACUGCGACUGUCUGCUUUAAUAGCAGCCCACUCAGAUCCUCGGGGGCGGUCUCCUGUCAUUCAGGCAUUGAACGGACAUUAUUGAGGAAGGUAAUUGGCAGGGAGCCUCAUCUCUGGAGGGUUCCCUUGGCUUCAGCGAUCUUUCAGAGGACUGCGGGACUCUGCCAUUAAUCAGUGUGGGGAUAAGAGAAAGGAGGGAUACGCCAGUGUCGGCACAGACCCUUACCUUUCCUUCCCCGUGACAGAAAAAUCCUUACCUAAUCAAACUGCCCACUCUAAUCUACACUUAGAAUCUUCAAGGAUGUGGCAGCACACAAAAGAAGGAUCACUCUCUCUGCUUAAAUAGCUAUUCCUUCUUAGUGGAUAUAAUAAUAAAGACACAGUAUUGCAAGGUUUAGACUGUCUUCUAUGCCAGAUUUUGAAUUUGUCAGAUUUAUUUUCUCACAAGAAGUUUGUUUUGUGUAUUAAGAAGUUACUGUUGUAACAUUGGAAAAUUUCAUCCCUCUUGGUUUAUGUCCAGUGUCAAUGUUCAGUGGCCUUUAUGUAAUGAGGUGUUGAGUUGGUGGAUGUCUGUGACGAGGAAGCACGAGACCACACUUUCUGUUGAAAGACCUGCAAUUAAAGUUCCCCUUUUUAAUUAAC